CGUACGGGAGGCAGCAGGUAGGGGUAAUUUUGGACAAUGGGGCAACCCUGAUCCAGCCAUGCCGCGUGAGUGAAGAAGGCCUUCGGGGUUGUAAAAGCUCUUUCGGCCGGGAAGAAAUCGUAUCAGCUAAUACCUGGUGCGGAUGACGGUACCGGCAUAAGAAGCACCGGCUAACUACGUGCCAGCAGCCGCGGUAAU
Molecule: ribosomal RNA, 198 nt
Filed under: uncultured bacterium
Lineage: Bacteria
Description: partial 16S ribosomal RNA
Rfam family: Bacterial small subunit ribosomal RNA
Source: RNAcentral